ACGAACGCUGGCGGCGUGCUUAACACAUGCCAGUCGAACGGUGAAGCCCUUCGGGGUGGAUCAGUGGCGAACGGGUGAGUAACACGUGAGCAACCUGCCCCUGGCUCUGGGACAACCACUGGAAACGGUGGCUAAUACCGGAUACGACCCGCCUCGGCAUCGAGUGUGGGUGGAAAGUUUUUCGGCUGGGGAUGGGCUCGCGGCCUAUCAGCUUGUUGGUGAGGUGAAGGCUCACCAAGGCGACGACGGGUAGCCGGCCUGAGAGGGCGACCGGCCACACUGGGACUGAGACACGGCCCAGACUCCUACGGGAGGCAGCAGUGGGGAAUAUUGCACAAUGGGCGAAAGCCUGAUGCAGCGACGCCGCGUGAGGGAUGACGGCCUUCGGGUUGUAAACCUCUUUCAGCUCCGAAGAAGCGAAAGUGACGGUAGGAGCAGAAGAAGCACCGGCUAACUACGUG
RNAcentral lists this ribosomal RNA (461 nucleotides) under uncultured bacterium. Its description in RNAcentral is "partial 16S ribosomal RNA". It matches the Rfam family "Bacterial small subunit ribosomal RNA", at positions 29 to 507 of the family's 1533-position model. The record is from RNAcentral.